This 990-nucleotide ribosomal RNA is filed under the name Chromobacterium violaceum. RNAcentral describes it as "bacterial SSU rRNA". It matches the Rfam family "Bacterial small subunit ribosomal RNA", at positions 41 to 1033 of the family's 1533-position model. Lineage: Bacteria; Pseudomonadati; Pseudomonadota; Betaproteobacteria; Neisseriales; Chromobacteriaceae. The record is from RNAcentral.
CGCUUGCUUACACUGCAAGUCGAACGGUAACAGGGUGCUGCACCGCUGACGAGUGGCGAACGGUGAGUAUGCGUCGGAAUGUACCGUGUAAUGGGGGAUAGCUCGGCGAAAGCCGGAUUAAUACCGCNUACGCCUGAGGGGGAAAGCGGGGGAUCGAAAGACCUCGCGUUAUACGAGCAGCCGACGUCUGAUAGCUAGUUGGUGAGGUAAGAGCUCACCAGGGCGACGAUCAGUAGCGGGUCUGAGAGGAUGAUCCGCCACACUGGGACUGAGACACGGCCCAGACUCUACGGGAGGCAGCAGUGGGGAAUUUUGGACAAUGGGGGCAACCCUGAUCCAGCCAUGCCGCGUGUCUGAAGAAGGCCUUCGGGUUGUAAAGGACUUUUGUCAGGGAGGAAAUCCCGCUGGUUAAUACCCGGCGGGGAUGACAGUACCUGAAGAAUAAGCACCGGCUAACUACGUGCCAGCAGCCGCGGUAAUACGUAGGGUGCGAGCGUUAAUCGGAAUUACUGGGCGUAAAGCGUGCGCAGGCGGUUGUGCAAGUCUGAUGUGAAAGCCCCGGGCUUAACCUGGGAACGGCAUUGGAGACUGCACAGCUAGAGUGCGUCAGAGGGGGGUAGAAUUCCACGUGUAGCAGUGAAAUGCGUAGAGAUGUGGAGGAAUACCGAUGGCGAAGGCAGCCCCCUGGGAUGACACUGACGCUCAUGCACGAAAGCGUGGGGAGCAAACAGGAUUAGAUACCCUGGUAGUCCACGCCCUAAACGAUGUCAACUAGCUGUUGGGGGUUUGAAUCCUUGGUAGCGUAGCUAACGCGUGAAGUUGACCGCCUGGGGAGUACGGCCGCAAGGUUAAAACUCAAAGGAAUUGACGGGGACCCGCACAAGCGGUGGAUGAUGUGGAUUAAUUCGAUGCAACGCGAAAAACCUUACCUGCUCUUGACAUGUACGGAACUUGCCAGAGAUGGCUUGGUGCCCGAAAGGGAGCCGUAAC